ACAUCAGUAGCACAGUGGUCAGUGCAGUCUGCCGGGAACAGAAAAACGCGGGUUCAAUUCCCGCCCGAUGUC
Non-coding RNA from Nippostrongylus brasiliensis, 72 nucleotides. NCBI's taxonomy places the organism in Eukaryota, Metazoa, Nematoda, Chromadorea, Rhabditida, Heligmosomidae. The record is from Rfam.